Molecule: ribosomal RNA, 497 nt
Filed under: uncultured bacterium
Lineage: Bacteria
Description: partial 16S ribosomal RNA
Rfam family: Bacterial small subunit ribosomal RNA
Source: RNAcentral
GAUGAACGCUGGCGGCGUGCCUAAUACAUGCAAGUCGAGCGAACAGACGAGGAGCUUGCUCCUCUGACGUUAGCGGCGGACGGGUGAGUAACACGUGGAUAACCUACCUAUAAGACUGGGAUAACUUCGGGAAACCGGAGCUAAUACCGGAUAAUAUAUUGAACCGCAUGGGUCAAUAGUGAAAGACGGUUUUGCGGUCACUUAUAGAUGGAUCCGCGCCGCAUUAGCUAGUUGGUAAGGUAACGGCUUACCAAGUCAACGAUGCGUAGCCGACCUGAGAGGGUGAUCGGCCACACUGGAACUGAGACACGGUCCAGACUCCUACGGGCGGCAGCAGUAGGGAAUCUUCCGCAAUGGGCGAAAGCCUGACGGAGCAACGCCGCGUGAGUGAUGAAGGUCUUCGGAUCGUAAAACUCUGUUAUUAGGGAAGAACAAAUGUGUAAGUAACUAUGCACGUCUUGACGGUACCUAAUAAGAAAGCCACGGCUAACUACGUG